This 429-nucleotide ribosomal RNA is filed under the name Gemmatimonadota bacterium. Its description in RNAcentral is "Gemmatimonadetes bacterium partial 16S ribosomal RNA". It matches the Rfam family "Bacterial small subunit ribosomal RNA", at positions 355 to 776 of the family's 1533-position model. The record is from RNAcentral. Lineage: Bacteria; Pseudomonadati; Gemmatimonadota.
UAGGGAAUCUUCGGCAAUGGACGAAAGUCUGACCGAGCAACGCCGCGUGUGUGAAGAAGGUUUUCGGAUCGUAAAACUCUGUUGUUAGAGAAGAACAAGGACGUUAGUAACUGAACGUCCCCUGACGGUAUCUAACCAGAAAGCCACGGCCAACUACGUGCAAGCAGCCGCGGUAAUACGUAGGUGGCAAGCGUUGUCCGGAUUUAUUGGGCGUAAAGCGAGCGCAAGCGGUUUCUUAAGUCUGAUGUGAAAGCCCCCGGCUCAACCGGGGAGGGUCAUUGGAAACUGAGAGACUAGAGUGCAGAAGAGGAGAGGGGAAUUCCAGGUGUAGCGGUGAAAUGCGUAGAUAUAUGGAGGAACACCAGUGGCGAAGGCGUCUCUCUGGUCUGUAACUGACGCUGAGGCUCGAAAGCGUGGGUAGCAAACAGG